GAUGAACGCUAGCUACAGGCUUAACACAUGCAAGUCGAGGGGUAACGAGAGGAAAGCUUGCUUUCCUUGUCGACGACCGGCGCACGGGUGGGUAACGCGUAUCCAACCUGCCCCCAACUAGGGAAUAACCUUGCGAAAGUAAGGCUAAUACCCUAUAAUUUCCUCAGAUGUCAUCUGACGAGGAAUAAAGAUUUAUCGGUUGUGGAUGGGGAUGCGUCUGAUUAGCUUGUUGGCGGGGUAACGGCCCACCAAGGCAACGAUCAGUAGGGGUUCUGAGAGGAAGGUCCCCCACAUUGGAACUGAGACACGGUCCAAACUCCUACGGGAGGCAGCAGUGAGGAAUAUUGGUCAAGGGGCGGAAGCCUGAACCAGCCAAGUAGCGUGCAGGAUGACGGCCCUAUGGGUUGUAAACUGCUUUUAUACAGGAAUAAAGUUAGCCACGUGUGGUUAUUUGUAGGUACUGUAUGAAUAAGGACCGGCUAAUUCCGUGCCAGCAGCCGCCGUAA
Molecule: ribosomal RNA, 506 nt
Filed under: uncultured bacterium
Lineage: Bacteria
Description: partial 16S ribosomal RNA
Rfam family: Bacterial small subunit ribosomal RNA
Source: RNAcentral